GAAUCAACGCUGGCGGCGUGCCUCAGACAUGCAAGUCGAACGCGAAAGUCCCCUUCGGGGGACAAGUAGAGUGGCGCACGGGUGAGUAACACGUAGGUAAUCUACCUUCGGGUGGGGAAUAACCCCGGGAAACCGGGGCUAAUACCGCAUAAUGCAGCGGCACCUAAUGGUGACAGUUGUUGAAGCGGGGGAUCGCAAGAUCUCGCGCCUGAAGAGGAGCCUGCGGCGGAUUAGCUAGUUGGUAGGGUAAUGGCCUACCAAGGCGACGAUCCGUAACCGGCCUGAGAGGGCGGU
RNAcentral lists this ribosomal RNA (294 nucleotides) under uncultured bacterium. RNAcentral's name for it is "partial 16S ribosomal RNA". It matches the Rfam family "Bacterial small subunit ribosomal RNA", at positions 27 to 304 of the family's 1533-position model. The record is from RNAcentral.